This 464-nucleotide ribosomal RNA is filed under the name uncultured bacterium. Its description in RNAcentral is "partial 16S ribosomal RNA". It matches the Rfam family "Bacterial small subunit ribosomal RNA", at positions 28 to 507 of the family's 1533-position model. The record is from RNAcentral.
GACGAACGCUGGCGGCGUGCUUAACACAUGCAAGUCGAACGGAAAGGCCCUGCUUGCAGGGUACUCGAGUGGCGAACGGGUGAGUAACACGUGGGUGAUCUGCCCUGCACUUCGGGAUAAGCCUGGGAAGCUGGGUCUAAUACCGGAUAGGAGCCAUUUUUAGUGUGAUGGUUGGAAAGUUUUUCGGUGUAGGAUGAGCUCGCGGCCUAUCAGCUUGUUGGUGGGGUAAUGGCCUACCAAGGCGGCGACGGGUAGCCGGCCUGAGAGGGUGGACGGCCACAUUGGGACUGAGAUACGGCCCAGACUCCUACGGGAGGCAGCAGUGGGGAAUAUUGCACAAUGGGCGCAAGCCUGAUGCAGCGACGCCGCGUGGGGGAUGACGGCCUUCGGGUUGUAAACUCCUUUCGCUAGGGACGAAGCUUUUUGUGACGGUACCUAGAUAAGAAGCACCGGCUAACUACGUG